This 73-nucleotide transfer RNA is filed under the name Cricetulus griseus (Chinese hamster). It matches the Rfam family "tRNA". From Rfam's summary of the family: Transfer RNA (tRNA) molecules are approximately 80 nucleotides in length. Their secondary structure includes four short double-helical elements and three loops (D, anti-codon, and T loops). Lineage: Eukaryota; Metazoa; Chordata; Mammalia; Rodentia; Cricetidae. The record is from Rfam by way of RNAcentral.
CUGGAGAUGGCCCAGCAGUCAAGAGCACUGGCUGCUCUUCCAGAGAACCUGGGUUCAAGUCCCAGCCUCCACA